AGACGGAAGCAGCAGCAUUCCGCUUGCAGGUUUUUGAAAAAACAAAUGGGGCAAGAGAGGCCAGGACCACGCCUGACUCAGGCGAUCGGACGGGCAGGGAGGCUGCAAGGCAUGGCAUGAGCAGGUGGAGCUGUCAGGACUGCCCCAGCCCCUGGCUCAAAGAUGCCCGACCCCAGGACCCUGCCUCGCUGGAUGGUGAAGGCCAACUUCCCCUCUGUUGGAGCUGGCCUGGGCGUUGUGGGAAGGGCUGGGAGGAGGCCCAGGACAAUGCAGAACAGACAGGACGUUUCACAGAGCAGGCUGCCAUGUCCCUCGGGGCCUUGGGGGCUGCUGAGGCCCUGAGAAAGGUCACUGGAGGCCUGGCCGGAAGUGCAGGGUUAUCUCAGUACUUGAUUUAAGGCUCCUGCAGCUGAAAAGCUGCCCCACACGGCGGACCGGGUGGAGGAAGUCAGCUGUGCUGCUUAACCGUGGAGUCUCCGUCCCGGUCCUGCUCACCAGCUCUGCAAAGGCCUUGUCCUCCCUGCCUGAUUCUCGGCACCAUUUUUAACACGCCUAUGGAGAGGCCACGUUGAGUCCAGAGGUCCGUGCGCCUCAUGGCCACAUCACGGCACCCGUUCACCCACACAAGGGCCAGGAGCAUCCCCUAGGGAGGAGGAGAUGGCAGAUCUGCACAGGCUCUGCGCUCCUCUCUCUCCGGAGCGUCCUCUCCUCUGUGUGGCAGGCUCGGCGCGUGAUGGAGGAGCCCCUUCUGCAGGGCUCUGUUUAGAGGGUGCCCGCCCCACAGCCUGUGGCUGCUCCUACUCAUGCCAGGUGAGGCUCCUACACCCACCAGUGGCCACCGGGGAGUCACAGCUCCUUCUGCAUCAUCCGCCUGACCUGUUUCCUCAUCUGGGAUGACAACCAGAUCCAGCUCUGAGGUCCGUGCCCUGAGUAGAAAAGUUCACACAGCAAAGUUUCCGGAGCCUUCCCUGACGCGCCACGUGUCCGUCCAUAACUGGUCAUCCUCCACAUCCUGUGAGGCACGUCUCAGCACCUCUUCGUGCAAGCGCCCGCACUAGACGUUUGAGAAACAGAUGUGAGCAGGCGUGGUCCUGACCUCCAUCCCGAGGUUGGG
RNAcentral lists this long non-coding RNA (1114 nucleotides) under Homo sapiens (human). RNAcentral's name for it is "PTPRN2 antisense RNA 1". Lineage: Eukaryota; Metazoa; Chordata; Mammalia; Primates; Hominidae. The record is from RNAcentral.